CUAAAAUUAGAACAGUACAGAGAAGAUUAGCAUGGCCUCUGUGUAAGGGAUGACAUGAAAAUUCAUAAAGCAUUCCAUACUUAA
This is a small nuclear RNA of Peromyscus maniculatus bairdii (prairie deer mouse), 84 nucleotides long. NCBI's taxonomy places the organism in Eukaryota, Metazoa, Chordata, Mammalia, Rodentia, Cricetidae. The record is from Ensembl.